RNAcentral lists this unclassified non-coding RNA (334 nucleotides) under soil metagenome. Its description in RNAcentral is "partial contains 5.8S ribosomal RNA, internal transcribed spacer 2, and large subunit ribosomal RNA". The stretch from base 1 to 120 matches the Rfam family "5.8S ribosomal RNA", at positions 35 to 154 of the family's 154-position model. The record is from RNAcentral.
GAUGAAGAACGUAGCGAAAUGCGAUAAGUAAUGUGAAUUGCAGAAUUCAGUGAAUCAUCGAAUCUUUGAACGCACAUUGCGCCCCCCAGUAUUCUGGCGGGCAUGCCUGUUCGAGCGUCAUUUCAACCAUCAAGCCCUGCUUGUGUUGAGGUCCUGCGGCUGCCCGCAGGCCCUGAAAACCAGUGGCGGGCUCGCUAGUCACACCGAGCGCAGUAGCACAUCUCGCUCAGGGCGUGCGGCGGGCUCCAGCCGUUAAAGCACCCACCUUUCGCAAGGUUGACCUCGGAUCAGGUAGGAAUACCCGCUGAACUUAAGCAUAUCAAUAAGCGGAGGA